This 83-nucleotide small RNA is filed under the name Marmota monax (woodchuck). Lineage: Eukaryota; Metazoa; Chordata; Mammalia; Rodentia; Sciuridae. The record is from RNAcentral.
GCCAGGUGUGGUGGCGUAUGCUUGUAAUCCCAGUAACUUGGGAGGCUGAGGCAGGAGGACUCCAAAUUCGAGGCCAGUCUCAG